This is a non-coding RNA of Schizosaccharomyces pombe (fission yeast), 222 nucleotides long. The record is from the annotation of a GenBank genome assembly. NCBI's taxonomy places the organism in Eukaryota, Fungi, Ascomycota, Schizosaccharomycetes, Schizosaccharomycetales, Schizosaccharomycetaceae.
AGCUUCCAACUUCCAUCUUUUUCAAAUAGGUAAAUAGAUAGACAUAUUAAUGACGUCAUAUAUAGAACGCGACGCGUCGAAAUAAAUUAAAUUUAAGGAUAACGUGUUCCUUAAAAGAAAUGUAAAUAAGCACCAACCAGCAUGGAACUAAACUGUCAAGGAAACAGGUUCACUGUGGUGCAGCUUACUUAACAGAACGUUUUCCACUUAAAAACACUGCAU